ACAGAGGGAUCCGCCCCUUUCCUGGCUGCCUACACAGAAAGCAGCCAUGGGAGACUUGCCGAGGACUUUGUCCACCAAGUGAUGAAAGCAUGCAAAUGCCUCCGAAUCAAAGAUGAGGAAAACAAAAGCUCAGAAACUAUCUUGGAGUCAGCAAGUAAGAAGGAGCUUAGAAAGGCUUAACAUUUUCCAUGCUUCUGCCUGGCUUCAGAGCCCAUGCACUCUGCCUUACCACGGCAGGUGAAAGAUGGCCCCAAAUUCUUAGGUACAUCUCCUGCCAAAAGACCCCUCCUAUGGGUUCUGUGACUACUUCAAUGAAAAGAAUAGGGCAGAAGAGAUGAUGAGAACUUAACAUCUGGCAGUGUCCAUUUCCUGUCUUUUGAAACUUUCUGUUAAAGGCCUGAGCCACGUAUGAAGUGUGAAUCUUCACACCAUGCAAGAGAAGCCACAUGUUAUUGCUCUGGUCAACAAUCCCAGCUGACCCAACCAGAUAGUGUAUCAGGCAUAUGAGUAAAGCAUUCUUAGAUUCUUCAGUCCAGCCCUUCACCAGCAGAACACCAUUCAGCAACCCUUGUCGGCAUCAUGUGGGACAGAAGAACCACCCAGCUGAGCCUUAUCCAAAUUCCUGACCACAAAAUCAUAAGAGAGAAUGACUUCUUUCAUAUCGCUGAAUGGAGCAACAUGUUUGGCCAAGUUCCUGUCCCAGGGAGGAGAACCUUCAGCUUGCAACAAGUCCUGGCCGUUGGAGAAACCAUGAGACUAGACCUUGUGUAAAGCAGCUGAUUCUGCCAUGGGGGAAAUGCCCUUUUGUUUACUGAGCUUCUCCCACCCAUGCCUUGCUCCACUUUCCUCUAGAAGCCUGAGAUAUUGGGAAUAAGAGUCUCAGCCUCCAAGAGAUGGAGAACAUAUCAAGAGAGUCUGGAUUUCUGGGGUGAUUAAGUUCACUUGAUUCAUUAGCCUAAGUGCUCAAGUAAAUUUCAAAUCACAGUGUUAUGUGUGAUUGUCCACGUCCUUCCUCCAAACACUCCCCACCUCCCACCCAAGGGCCCAUGUAACUUGCUAUUGAGAACCUUUGAUUUCUUAGGUAUUUGGGUGAUAGGGUUUUGUUGCCUCUCCUGAAGAAAAUAGUGGCAAUUUGUACUCAGCUGUGGAAUAAAGGAAAUCAUGACAUA
This 1169-nucleotide long non-coding RNA is filed under the name Homo sapiens (human). RNAcentral's name for it is "non-protein coding LINC02325:22". Lineage: Eukaryota; Metazoa; Chordata; Mammalia; Primates; Hominidae. The record is from RNAcentral.